UACGAUCGCACCACGUUGAAAUACCGGUUCCUGUACGAUCAGCGAAGUUAAGCGACGUCGAUCCUGAUCAUUAUCUAGAUGUGUAACCACUUGGAAAUACUAGGUGCUGAAAG
This is a non-coding RNA of Acanthosepion pharaonis, 113 nucleotides long. The record is from the annotation of a GenBank genome assembly. NCBI's taxonomy places the organism in Eukaryota, Metazoa, Mollusca, Cephalopoda, Sepiida, Sepiidae.